ACGGUUUCGCGAGCAGAGGAUACAAUGGGUGAGGGUCCAUGCGAGCGGAAAAGCAAAACCAUCUUCCAUCCUCACCUCAGUCUGCGCCGCUGCGCCAAGAGAAAAAACAGAGUCCAGACCGGCUUCAGCAACUCAUCCUCAGAGCAGAGUUGCUGCCGAGUGAAUAGAGAGCUCGUGCUGCGUGCGGCGGGAAGGUUUCGAUGGCAGAUCCGGUGGCCACCGUGGAGAAGAUCGUCAAAAUCGGGCUCAAGAUCAAGGAGGCCGUGAACAGGGUUCGCCGCAACGAGGAGGAUUGCCGCGAGAUCACGAGGCGCGUGCUGAGGUUCAGCGCCAUCCUGUCGCAGCUGCAGCAGACGGGGACGGUGGCCGACAGCCCGGCGCUGGCCGGUGCGCUGGAGGACCUGGAGGAGACCCUGCAGCGUGCCCUCGAGCUCGUCACGGCCUGCCAGGAGAGGACCACUACCCGCCGCCUCGUCGCGGCGGGUGACCUGUCGAAGCAGCUGCGCCGGGUACAGGAUGACAUCUUGAACAAAGUGAUGCUGGCGUCCUUCGCCAUCAACGCCCACACCACCAUCUUGUUGCUUACUAUUCAGGCUGGUGGUCAGCCUCCGCCCCGGCAGCAGCAAGCGGAUGCAGGACUGACGGGUGUAUCGAAUAACAUUCAUUCAACUGAAGAUGCUAGCCUUAAAAAACUUCAGUUUAUCUGAGUUAAAGGAUGCUAUAAAUGGAGGAAACAUCAUUGGAGAAGGUGCAUUCUGUAUGGUCUACAAGGUACUCAACAUAUGCUUGAUAUUCAAAUUGUUAUUGUUUCUUUGAUAUGUCUGAUAAAUUUUCUUGUCCAUUGAACAAAGAUGGGUCACUUUGUCAUAUUUGGGAACUCUGGAAGCUAAGGCUGAAUAAUGGGUGCAUAGGCUUUAGUAAUUUGGACCUGAUAAGAAGGAACGGGCACUGAUUUUUUUUUUGAUGAAACAGGCACAGAAUUUGUUGGCUAUAUCAAUGAAUUUAUCACUCAUUUGCAAGUGAAACAUAAAAAAGAGAGCCAUAGAGGGGUUAAAGGGUUCCGAUAAGUUUGCACAUCUUUACAUUUUAGCAUUAUUAAUGCAACAAGCCUCUUUCCAGUAUAACUGCAACAUCAAUGAUUCCAUCAUUCUGUUACUUGUAUCCAUUGCCAGGCUGAAUGAUGAUGAUGCUUCACAAAUAACGGCACAGCUCAUAAACAUUUACCUAUGUUUUACUGACAAAAUAAUCCACUAUAGUCGAAAUACAUGAAUUUUUUCUUUGUUAUGCAUAUUGCAUUUUUAAUUCAAAAGAGUAGCAUUAGAAACAAUUUAAAUCCAGCGAUCAGUAAAUUUAAAAUCUUAACCAACUUUACUUGUUUGUGACUCCUUUGGGAUUCUGAUAGAACAUUAUCUGUUCUUGGCAUCCGAGGUUAACUUGCCUUUUUAGAUUGUUCACUUAUUCUCAAUUAAGGUUCCUACUGAGUUGACAAUGUCUUCCCUGCAUGGUGAUGAUAGUGCGAUGAGCAUAGAAAAAUUGAGUUAUUUGAUCUAUGGAAGUGCAUACUUAUAAAGUUCAAUAUACUUUACAAAUAUAUAAUACCCUCACCUUUUCUUUUCUAUAAUGCAACCCAUGAUUCAAACCUUUUAAUCUGACCAACAAGUAGUCUAAGAAUUUGUAGAUUAUACCAUAAAAAUUUAUUAUAAUCAGAUCAUAUUCAUAUAUUUGAAAGUAUUUUCAUAUGAAGUCAAUUUUAUGUACUCGAAUAAUAUAAUGGCUGUGAUAUUAACAGUCAAAGGUAGUAAUGGAGACUACAUCAGGUCAAACACCUCCUUACAUUUUUCAAAGGAUGGAGUAAUAGAUAUUACUUAGCAAAUUCAUAUUUUUGAGACCAUGGUAAUAUCCAAAGAAUGCUUUCAGUGACACCUUAGCAUAAAUUGAAACUAAAAUAGAUAGGAAUUAAAAUUUUAAUUGAUGAGAAGAUAUUCUUUAAUUUUACGUGUAACACGACAUAGCGGCCGGGUUCAAUAAGCCAAUUCAAGCGUAGUACUAUGUUGCAACCACCCAACAAGUCAAUCAUAUGUUGAGCCCUUUUACAAUAUUUGGAAAUACUUUUUAACGCUUUCUAAUACCUCCCAAUGCCUACUCAUAAUAUUAUUUUUAAUUAAUUUUAAUUAUUGAAGGGUAGAAUAGUAAUUGGGAUAUCCCAAAUCCCACGACUUAAGAUCCUUAAACCCCAAAUCACGGGAUUCAGAUUCAAAGCUCAGGGGCUACUGGACAUGCGUCAUAACUCAUAAAUGAUAAUUUUUUAAAGGGCCCACUAUCCUCUCCUGCCUCCGCCAAACCCCACGCCCACCGGCAUCUUCUCUCUCCCGGUGAGUGUCGCCCCCGACCACCACUUCCCGUCGCACCCUCAACUGCUGUCACUGCCGUGUCACCACCUCGUUGCAGCCUUGCUCGCCGGCCUGCCCGUCCCCGUCGCUGACAUUGAAGGCGCCACCAGUCGAGCUCACCUCCGCCGCCUAGGAAAGGCGCCCCAAGUUGCUCUCCUCACCACCAUUGAGCUCGCCGAGCCACGCGUCCCACUCCUCCAGCUUCCCAUCCCCAAGCUCUGUCCAUCGAGCUGCUCUGUUCUUGGUGGAACAAACCACCAGCCGAUCUCCCCCAUCAAACCCUCUCGUUUCAAUUCCUCCUAGGAUGAGCACCUCCAAGCCCUCCUCUACCUUCCCCAACCCGUGGCCUUCACUCUCCCUACUUGAGCAGAGCUCCCCAAAGCUCGGGAUGCCAUAGCCAUGGCUACCGCGGCCGCCGUAUCCAACCUUCGUUUCCCAUGCCUAGAGUCACUGUCACACCCGAUUUUAUAAAGAAAAUCGAAUGCAUCUCAUAUGUCCUCCAGGAUCAAAUUUACACACAUAUGAUCGACGUCGAGUGAAUGUAUCAAAAGACAAUGCUUGAAAAGUAAAGGAAUUAUAGAGCAAAACGACAUUAUUACACCCCGAAUGAAAUAGACUCAAAAGGUCUUAAACGUUUCACCGACAUCCUAAAUGAAGUCCACAGCACAACUUCUCCCACAGGCAGCUGACUAGUGGACGUACGCCUAGAACUCCUCGAAAUCGUCGAAGUUCUCCACUUCAAAGUUCUCUUCUGAGCAGCAAUUUAAGCAAUGGUGAGUACACUUAUGGUUAAUACUCAGCAAGUGGGGGAAUAUGCAAGGUUAAACAAGAAGUGCUAAAGGCAUUUCAGCGGUUAGCAAUUUUAGUUGAUCAUAUUUUAUUAGCAAGCACCUAUUAACUAAGUAUAAGUUUAUACCAACCCACUUAAGCAUAAGCAUAAAGGAUCCAACAUAAAACCAAAGAACCACAAUUUGAUUAUUCUUCAAGUUCAAUUAUCAUACGAGGGUCCAAGCCGCUCAUAACCGCGAGCACGACUGAUAUAUUAGUUUUACACUCUGCAGAGGUUGUACACUUUACCCAUAAGUCGCGUAAAAGUUCCGAAGAACUUUGGACCCAAUCAUGCUGUGCGGGCCGGCACAAUGCCACACUUCCUUAGGUGUGAUUGCAUAGGGAUGCUAUGAGGCCUUUACAAAGAUUCCCUAAUAAGAAGUGGUCCGCUAAGGUUUCCGGAGCAGUAGCAGAGCAUAAGCCUCCCUAAUGGGCAUAGUGUCUUAGCAAAGCCCACUUCCCAAGAGGACCGGGUUAUACCCUGUCAACCGCUGCUCCUCUUGCCCUUUCGGUAAGACUGCUUCAAACUAGAGUCUCUAAUUAAUUAGCCAAGACCAGAGCCAUAUAGUUCUUGUGGUUGCACUGUUUUCCUGGGUGGUUCUCCAUGUUCCAAUUAAUCGAAGUGAUCUUGUUCCCUUAACCAUGAUAAAACCAUAUUUAACAUUUUCCAAGAUUAUACCAACCAACCCAAGAUAAAGAAACUAAGCAAAGCUACCCCAACAAGAUAUUAAACCCGGUGUUCCAAGGUUGAGGUAAAAAGACUAGGGAAAGUCCUUAAUAGGUGUUCCCGUCAAAUUUAUGCAUAAACAGUAAAGUAAAGUGAAUUAACAUGCUAUUAAUGGGACAAAUCAGAGUAUGCAGAGGCGGAAAGCCACUUGCCUUCCUUGGCUAACUGCUGAAAAUCUUCCUCAAAAGCUUGCUCUUGAUCACCCUCGAACGGCACGUCGUCUACACGAUCACACAAGCACAACAAACAAUACAAAUAAGAAACAGUAGAAAAAAGUAAAAACAGUACCGGAAAAGGUGAAAAAGGUGUAGAACGCGAAGCAAGGAUCGCGUGAGUGCAAGAAUCGCUGAAAACGGAGUUGAAACAUGAAAGAUAUGGCUAAAACAGUGCAUUAGGGACUUGUUUGUGAGAGUUUUGAACUUCCAGGGGUUAGCUUCAAUGAAACCAGGGGCUAAAAACCUAAUUAAACCUUAGAUCCAGGGGCUAGAUAGCGAAAAGAAGGGUCCUGGAUGGCGGCUUCUAUUUUUAGAAAACACAGGGGCUAAAAUAGAAAGAAAAGGACUUCAACCUAAUUAUUUUUGAACUGCAGUGGACUGCGGGUUUAUUUUCGCAAAACUGAGGGGCUCUUUUGCAAAAGAUCAGGGGGUUGACCGGUAUGUGGGGGAUUGACUUUGGUCUAGAUCCAAUCUAGACCGUCGGAUGGAGAUCCGAGGGCUGGGAUGGGCGCGGCUCGGCUCUGCGCGGCUCGGGCCGCGCGGCUCGACUUCGUGGCGGCUCGGCUGCACGGGGACGCGGCUUGGGCGGGGCGGCGGCUCGGUGGCGCCGCUCAGCGAGCGGCGCUGCACACCGGCGGUGAGCAGGGGCGGCGGCGGACCGCCGGAGAACACCGAAUCCGGUGCUCCAGGGCUCGGUUCGCUGCGGGGUUUGGCCGGGGAGAUAGAGGAGUCGACGGCGAGCACUAUGGGGGUGGCGGGGCGGCGGGUUGGUGCAGCGGCGGUGCUCCACGAUGGCGAGGGGCGGACGGCGUGCUCCGGCGAGCAAUUGCCGGGGCGGGAGAGCGAGAGGGAGAUGGAAAAAGGGGCGGCGAGGGUCCUCACCACUUCACCUAGCCUUGGCGCGGAACGGGCGGCGAAGGGAUGCAGCGGAACGGCAGAUCGAUGGCGACGGCGGAGCUCGGGACGACGGCGGUGUUCGGCGGAGCUCUGGAGUGGUAGUGCGAGCGAGAGUGAGUGUGAGCAGAGGGGAAAGGGAGAGGGGUGAGCUCGGGUGCGCGAUUUAUAGAGGGGAAGGGGGGGUUAGUGCGCCCGCGCGUGCGAGGGAGGAGGCGGCGAGUUCGUCAGCGGCAGUCACGGCAAUGAAUGCCGCGGCGUCUCCGCGCGGGGGAGAGGUCGCGCGCGUCGCUGGCCAUUAUGGCCAUCAAGGUGGCGAUUCAAAAAGGAAGGCGGAGCUCGGGGGCGCGGUCGUGGGCGCGUCCACGACGGGAAAAGCGCUCGGCGUCAGAAAAAGAAGGUGCGGGAGGUAGGGGACGACGCUGACAAGCGGGCCCCUGGUGGAAGUGAGAGAGAGGGAGAGAGGUGGCGGGUUGGGCCAGCUGGGUUGGGGUUUUCUGGGCCGGACAGGUUGGGCCACAGGAAAGAAGGAAGAGAGAGGGAGAAGAGAUAGGUGGGCUGGGCUGGUUUGGGAUGGGUGAGGGGAAAAGUUUUGUUUUUUUUUUAACUCAAACACCUUUUGAGGAUUCGAGGAGAUUCGAGGACGAUGGUCAGAGCUGACACCGGCUUGAGCUCGAGCAACUCAGCCAUGGCGUUCCGGCAAGGGAACACGAGCUGUUGUCUUCUCUAUUUAUCUCCUGAGCACGUUUGGGCUUAGUUCUUUAUGGACCAAGGCACCGUUGAUGGACGGUCCAUCCGGCCUGGGCGACCACCUGCAGCUGCAGGGGCUGCCGUUCGGGCGUGCGUGGAGGUGACGCCGGCGGUGGCGGCGGAGAGUGGUUGUCGCUGCACUGGUACAACGAGGGUGUAUUAAUGGAUGGGAAUGUGGUCGCUAUCAAGACGUUUAUAGAACCACGCCCAUUAGGCUGGGAGCAUAUGCUUGCACAUGGUCAACUUGUCCUAGCUUCAAAGCUUCAACACCAAAACAUAGUUAAAGUUCUAGGAUAUGGCCAUGAAGUUGAAACACAAAAAUCUUCAGUGAUAAUGCGGCUGUUGAAACACAAAAAUCGUCCAGCUAAAGGAAGAGGCUAUUUCUGGGUUGAAGAAUAUGUGCCGAAUGGAACCUUGUACUCGAAAAUCCAUGGCAAGUUUCCAGUACUCAGAUACUCCUACAUCAUAGUUUUCACAUCUUGGCCAACAAUUCUCUUAAUUAAAUUUAUUGAAUAUUACAACCUAAUAGUUUA
Panicum virgatum (switchgrass) is the source of this 6337-nucleotide RNA transcript. It is a transcript of the gene named cysteine-rich receptor-like protein kinase 10, with no coding region annotated. The record is from RefSeq and is a predicted model, not a curated record. The transcript has 5 exons. NCBI's taxonomy places the organism in Eukaryota, Viridiplantae, Streptophyta, Magnoliopsida, Poales, Poaceae.